AUUGAACGCUGGCGGCAGGCUUAACACAUGCAAGUCGAGCGGGGUGAUGGUGCUUGCACUAUCACUUAGCGGCGGACGGGUGAGUAAUGCUUAGGAAUCUGCCUAUUAGUGGGGGACAACAUCUCGAAAGGGAUGCUAAUACCGCAUACGUCCUACGGGAGAAAGCAGGGGAUCACUUGUGACCUUGCGCUAAUAGAUGAGCCUAAGUCGGAUUAGCUAGUUGGUGGGGUAAAGGCCUAACAAGGCGACGAUCUGUAGCGGGUCUGAGAGGGUGAUCAGCCACACUGGGACUGGGACACGGCCCAGACUCCUACGGGAGGCAGCAGUGGGGAAUAUUGGACAAUGGGGGGAACCCUGAUCCAGACAUGCCGCGUGUGUGAAGAAGGCCUUAUGGUUGUAAAGCACUUUAAGCGAGGAGGAGGCUCUUUUGGUUAAUACCCAAGAUGAGUGGACGUUACUCGCAGAAUAAGCACCGGCUAACUCUGUGCCAGCCGCCGCGGUAA
This 503-nucleotide ribosomal RNA is filed under the name uncultured bacterium. Its description in RNAcentral is "partial 16S ribosomal RNA". It matches the Rfam family "Bacterial small subunit ribosomal RNA", at positions 30 to 523 of the family's 1533-position model. The record is from RNAcentral.